Carassius auratus (goldfish) is the source of this 796-nucleotide long non-coding RNA. RefSeq lists it as uncharacterized. NCBI's taxonomy places the organism in Eukaryota, Metazoa, Chordata, Actinopteri, Cypriniformes, Cyprinidae. The record is from RefSeq and is a predicted model, not a curated record. The transcript is spliced from 3 exons.
GUGUUGCGCGCGGCCACUCCUCUUAUAAACGUGCGCAACCUUCAACCGGAAAAACCAGUUAAGCUGAAUGGAAGGAGAAAGACACGGGCUCAACAGUCCUGUAUGAUUUCAUUGAAUGGAAAGCAGCUUUGACAUUCUUCAAGUGUCCUUUUGUGUUCCACAUGGAAGAAAGAAGAACAUGAAGUACCUGCUUCAUCGACUCCUGCCCUGUCAUGUCCAGACCAGACAGUGUUUAAGCCGUUAGCAAUGCAAAAGAAUAAAAGUUGCAUAUGAAAACAGAUGUACAUCAGUUAUUGUCACCCACUGUUCCAGUACUUUCCUGUGCAGUUCUGAUAAUGAGGCCUGUGCAUGAGGUCCAGAUUUGUCAUAAAUGCAUCUUGUCUCAUCAUUCUGUUUUCAACCUCUUCUCAACCCCCUUUCAAACUAAUUCCUUCCCCUCCCCCUCUCCCUCUUUCUCUUUAUUCAAAGCCAUUGAUCAUGCAUGCAGAAAUUUAGCACGCCCAUAGCUCCAGUCGGGAGCACUGGGGCGCUGUCCUACAUACUGCUUCUCCACACACACACUCAUCCUGACACCACAAUCAAAUACACAAGCAUCCACACACACACACACACACACAUAUACAGGCUAACCGCGCUGACAAACUUAUGAGCCGUGAUAAAUAAGCAUGCAAAUUUUUUUACAAAUGAUGGCAUGCAUUUCUACCUGUUUGGCCUCCGAACUGCUCUCAAAACUUUUGGAACAUGAGUUUUAUUUUGAAUCUGAUCAUUCAGAUUUUCAUCUUGCAUCUGUUUUCUC